CCUGUAAGACUUGGAUAACUCCCGGAAACCGGGGCUAAUACCCGGAUGGUUGUUUGAACCGCAUGGUUCAAACAUAAAAGGUGGCUUCGGCUACCACUUACAGAUGGACCCGCGGCGCAUUAGCUAGUUGGUGAGGUAACGGCUCACCAAGGCNACGAUGCGUAGCCGACCUGAGAGGGUGAUCGGCCACACUGGGACUGAGACACGGCCCAGACUCCUACGGGAGGCAGCAGUAGGGAAUCUUCCGCAAUGGACGAAAGUCUGACGGAGCAACGCCGCGUGAGUGAUGAAGGUUUUCGGAUCGUAAAGCUCUGUUGUUAGGGAAGAACAAGUACCGUUCGAAUAGGGCGGUACCUUGACGGUACCUAACCAGAAAGCCACGGCUAACUACGUGCCAGCAGCCGCGGUAAUACGUAGGUGGCAAGCGUUGUCCGGAAUUAUUGGGCGUAAAGGGCUCGCAGGCGGUUUCUUAAGUCUGAUGUGAAAGCCCCCGGCUCAACCGGGGAGGGUCAUUGGAAACUGGGGAACUUGAGUGCAGAAGAGGAGAGUGGAAUUCCACGUGUAGCGGUGAAAUGCGUAGAGAUGUGGAGGAACACCAGUGGCGAAGGCGACUCUCUGGUCUGUAACUGACGCUGAGGAGCGAAAGCGUGGGGAGCGAACAGGAUUAGAUACCCUGGUAGUCCACGCCGUAAACGAUGAGUGCUAAGUGUUAGGGGGUUUCCGCCCCUUAGUGCUGCAGCUAACGCA
Molecule: ribosomal RNA, 747 nt
Filed under: Bacillus sp. Pd-E-(s)-m-N-3(2)
Lineage: Bacteria; Bacillati; Bacillota; Bacilli; Caryophanales; Bacillaceae
Description: bacterial SSU rRNA
Rfam family: Bacterial small subunit ribosomal RNA
Source: RNAcentral